GACGAACGCUGGCGGCGUGCUUAACACAUGCAAGUCGAACGGAAAGGCCCUGCUUUUGUGGGGUGCUCGAGUGGCGAACGGGUGAGUAACACGUGAGUAACCUGCUCUUGACUUUGGGAUAACUUCAGGAAACUGGGGCUAAUACCGGAUAGGAGCUCCUGCUGCAUGGUGGGGGUUGGAAAGUCUCGGCGGUUGGGGAUGGACUCGCGGCUUAUCAGCUUGUUGGUGGGGUAGUGGCUUACCAAGGCGAUGACGGGUAGCUGGCCGGAGAGGGUGACCGGCCACACUGGAACGGAGACACGGUGCAGAGGCCUACGGGAGGCAGCAGGGGGGAAUAUUGGACAAUGGGCGGAAGCCUGAUCCAGCCAUACAGCGUGGGUGAAGAAGGCAUGCGGGUGGUAAAGCCCGUUGGGUGGGAAAGAAAAGCAGCAGGUUAAUACCCCGCGGGGCUGACGGUACCCAAAGAAUAAGCAACGGCUAACUUCGUG
This 488-nucleotide ribosomal RNA is filed under the name uncultured bacterium. RNAcentral's name for it is "partial 16S ribosomal RNA". It matches the Rfam family "Bacterial small subunit ribosomal RNA", at positions 28 to 507 of the family's 1533-position model. The record is from RNAcentral.